RNAcentral lists this ribosomal RNA (692 nucleotides) under Citrobacter farmeri. RNAcentral describes it as "partial 23S ribosomal RNA". It matches the Rfam family "Bacterial large subunit ribosomal RNA", at positions 2251 to 2925 of the family's 2925-position model. Lineage: Bacteria; Pseudomonadati; Pseudomonadota; Gammaproteobacteria; Enterobacterales; Enterobacteriaceae. The record is from RNAcentral.
ACAGUGUCUGGUGGGUAGUUUGACUGGGGCGGUCUCCUCCUAAAGAGUAACGGAGGAGCACGAAGGUUAGCUAAUCCUGGUCGGACAUCAGGAGGUUAGUGCAAAGGCAUAAGCUAGCUUGACUGCGAGCGUGACGGCGCGAGCAGGUGCGAAAGCAGGUCUUAGUGAUCCGGUGGUUCUGAAUGGAAGGGCCAUCGCUCAACGGAUAAAAGGUACUCCGGGGAUAACAGGCUGAUACCGCCCAAGAGUUCAUAUCGACGGCGGUGUUUGGCACCUCGAUGUCGGCUCAUCACAUCCUGGGGCUGAAGUAGGUCCCAAGGGUAUGGCUGUUCGCCAUUUAAAGUGGUACGCGAGCUGGGUUUAGAACGUCGUGAGACAGUUCGGUCCCUAUCUGCCGUGGGCGCUGGAGAAUUGAGGGGGGCUGCUCCUAGUACGAGAGGACCGGAGUGGACGCAUCACUGGUGUUCGGGUUGUCAUGCCAAUGGCACUGCCCGGUAGCUAAAUGCGGAAGAGAUAAGUGCUGAAAGCAUCUAAGCACGAAACUUGCCCCGAGAUGAGUUCUCCCUGACCCUUAAAGGGUCCUGAAGGAACGUUGAAGACGACGACGUUGAUAGGCCGGGUGUGUAAGCGCAGCGAUGCGUUGAGCUAACCGGUACUAAUGAACCGUGAGGCUUAACCUUACAACGCCGAAG